UGGAAAUGAUGCAGAUGUUUUUCUUGACAAAACUGUGGAAGCUUUAAAAUGCUGAUUUAAUGAGGCUGAUCC
This is a small nucleolar RNA of Protopterus annectens (West African lungfish), 72 nucleotides long. Lineage: Eukaryota; Metazoa; Chordata; Ceratodontiformes; Protopteridae. The record is from RefSeq and is a predicted model, not a curated record.